GCCUGGGUGGCUCAGUCGGUGAAGCGUCCGACUUCAGCUCAGGUCAUGAUCUCACACACAGUUCGUGGGUUCAAGCCCCACAUCAGGCU
RNAcentral lists this transfer RNA (89 nucleotides) under Felis catus (domestic cat). It matches the Rfam family "tRNA". Rfam says of the family: Transfer RNA (tRNA) molecules are approximately 80 nucleotides in length. Lineage: Eukaryota; Metazoa; Chordata; Mammalia; Carnivora; Felidae. The record is from Rfam by way of RNAcentral.